Long non-coding RNA from Drosophila subobscura, 1351 nucleotides. RefSeq lists it as uncharacterized. The transcript is spliced from 4 exons. The record is from RefSeq and is a predicted model, not a curated record. NCBI's taxonomy places the organism in Eukaryota, Metazoa, Arthropoda, Insecta, Diptera, Drosophilidae.
AGGGUCAGAUGUUAUAUUUUAUCGAUAAAACAACGGUCACACUGCGCCAUAUAUCACAAAAUGUUAACUUUAUUGUAAAAACCAACACAAAAUCAAUAAUUAGCCAUCAAAACCCUACGUAAAACGAUCUACACUCAUGGCAGAUUCCGCUGCAUGUCAAUUGCAGUACGAGUACAAGGCAGUAAGUGCCAAAGCGACAACAUGCUAAAUUUGCAUCCCUCCAUGCGAUCCUAAAUCUUGUGCAACAAGCUAAUGCAAGACACAUAGAGUGCCUACGUCGCUACUGGCGAGGUCUACUCAAUGGUAGGAAAGUGGUAUUGAAAGAAUAUCGGUGACCCUCACACCAAGCUGGAAAAUACUGAAGAGCUGAAGCAUGAUGUGUGUGAUCCAUGCGGUCUAUGUGGAUCAGACCAGGGAUAUCGCCUGCGGUGGAGCUUGGAGCUUUUUUAAGCUGAUCGCAAAGUGUAGCUAUAGUUCUCAUGAACUAUAGCUCGAUAACAGGAUUAGAUUCGUGUUGCUGGUCCACCUGGGCAUGAGAUCACAGACUUUGGCAGCGGUGCCAUAAACGCACUGACAGCAACAACUAACUAUUAUGUACCAGAUUUGGAUGAAUACGUGCCCAUUAAUUCAGAUAAUAGUUGGCCAAUAAAGAGGCUGCCAGCAAUGGGCAGAAAGAUCGGAUUCUGCAUCCCCUGUACAUCGAUGUCUAUUAGCUGCCAAGUUGCCCGAGUAAGAUCUACAGGAGUACCACGGUUUCGCAGAGCAAGUCUGCCGAUGUGCUGAAGAUUGACUUUGACUCCAUCAAGCAGCGGAAGCUAUAUCGCCAGACAGACAAUGAACUCCAACGGCGGCACGGCACUCGCAAAUAUCAGCUGCCAGUAUUGCAAGCUCGCGACUGAGCGAUUCGAAGCAGACAUUGAGCCGGGCCCCUCCUUUGACACAAGCCUUUCUGGAUGUUUAGUGGUCAAAUGGCUGCCAUGGAACUGGCCCAGAUGGUUACCCAGGACAUGAGCAAGGACUCGUAUUUGCGACAUUUUCUGCAAUUUAGCGUCGACGUCAAGCGAUGCAGUGAGACGAAAAUCAAAAACUCAUUCGUCAUCAUGGAGCCGAAGGAUGAGAACCUUACAGCUUUACAUACGCAAAUGAGCGAUUUGGUAUCGGUGUCGGUCCGGCUGCAGAGUGAAUGCCUGUCCCGUCACUGCAUCCAUCUUCCCGCUGAAGAUCACGGAAGGCUGGCAGCUCGUUGACCAUACAUUGUAGUGCAGGAGCGACUUCUACUUGGGCUGCUAUCAGGACUUCAAAUUCUCAAUCUGAGAGUGGGAACGAGUCGGAUUAAGGCGCAGGAUAAGAU